RNAcentral lists this ribosomal RNA (492 nucleotides) under uncultured bacterium. Its description in RNAcentral is "partial 16S ribosomal RNA". It matches the Rfam family "Bacterial small subunit ribosomal RNA", at positions 29 to 507 of the family's 1533-position model. The record is from RNAcentral.
AGUGAACGCUGGCGGUAGGCCUAACACAUGCAAGUCGAACGGCAGCACAGUAAGAGCUUGCUCUUACGGGUGGCGAGUGGCGGACGGGUGAGGAAUACAUCGGAAUCUACUUUUUCGUGGGGGAUAACGUAGGGAAACUUACGCUAAUACCGCAUACGACCUACGGGUGAAAGCAGGGGAUCUUCGGACCUUGCGCGAUUGAAUGAGCCGAUGUCGGAUUAGCUAGUUGGCGGGGUAAAGGCCCACCAAGGCGACGAUCCGUAGCUGGUCUGAGAGGAUGAUCAGCCACACUGGAACUGAGACACGGUCCAGACUCCUACGGGAGGCAGCAGUGGGGAAUAUUGGACAAUGGGCGCAAGCCUGAUCCAGCCAUACCGCGUGGGUGAAGAAGGCCUUCGGGUUGUAAAGCCCUUUUGUUGGGAAAGAAAAGCAGCAGGUUAAUACCCCGCUGUUCUGUCGGUACCAAAAGAAUAAGCACCGGCUAACUUCGUG